ACUCAAAGGAAUUGACGGGGGCCCGCACAAGCGGUGGAGCAUGUGGUUCAAUUCGACGCAACGCGAAGAACCUUACCCAGGCUUGAACAGCGACUGACAUCCGGCGAAAGCCGGCUCCCGCAAGGGCAGUCGUAGAGGUGCUGCAUGGCUGUCGUCAGCUCGUGUCGUGAGAUGUUGGGUUAAGUCCCGCAACGAGCGCAACCCUUGUCCUCUGUUGCCAUCAGGUUAAGCUGGGCACUCUGAGGAGACUGCCGGUGAUAAACCGGAGGAAGGUGGGGAUGACGUCAAGUCAGCAUGGCCUUUAUGUCUGGGGCUACACACGUGCUACAAUGGCAGAUACAAACCGUCGCGAUGCCGCAAGGUGGAGCUAAUCGGAGAAAAUCUGUCUCAGUUCGGAUAGCAGGCUGCAACUCGCCUGCUUGAAGUUGGAAUCGCUAGUAAUCGCGGAUCAGCACGCCGCGGUGAAUACGUUCCCGGGCCUUGCACACACCGCCCGU
This 497-nucleotide ribosomal RNA is filed under the name uncultured bacterium. RNAcentral's name for it is "partial 16S ribosomal RNA". It matches the Rfam family "Bacterial small subunit ribosomal RNA", at positions 899 to 1397 of the family's 1533-position model. The record is from RNAcentral.